Molecule: non-coding RNA, 73 nt
Organism: Coccomyxa sp. Obi
Lineage: Eukaryota; Viridiplantae; Chlorophyta; Trebouxiophyceae; Coccomyxaceae
Source: the annotation of a GenBank genome assembly
GGGGGUGUAGUUCAGAUGGUAGAAUAUAUGCCUUGCACGCAUCAGGUCAUCGGUUCAAAUCCGAUCACCUCCA